UUGGAGGGCAAGUCUGGUGCCAGCAGCCGCGGUAAUUCCAGCUCCAAUAGCGUAUAUUAAAAUUGUUGCAGUUAAAAAGCUCGUAGUUGAAUUUCGGGAUUAGUACGUCGGUCGUGCCUUAGGUACGUACUGGUGUUACUGGUUCCUACCUUCUGACGAACCAUCAUGUCAUUAAUUUGGUGUGGUGGGGAAUCAGGACUGUUACUUUGAAAAAAUUAGAGUGUUUAAAGCAGGCUCGCGCUUGAAUACAUUAGCAUGGAAUAAUGAAAUAGGACG
Molecule: ribosomal RNA, 276 nt
Filed under: uncultured Glomus
Lineage: Eukaryota; Fungi; Glomeromycota; Glomeromycetes; Glomerales; Glomeraceae
Description: partial 18S ribosomal RNA
Rfam family: Eukaryotic small subunit ribosomal RNA
Source: RNAcentral